AAUACUUGUGCUCUUUUAUGGAUGAGCAUGUAUAUGUGAUGUGUCGGAAGAAUAAGGAAAGUGGGAGAAAAACGAUGCCCCGGCAAGGAAUUCUCUUAUUCUCUAUUUCUCCACAUUCUUUUCCAAAAUUCCAUCGGUUUUUUUGCCGUUUUUCGUUUAUUCCUGCCGUUGUCCUUCACCGAUCUGUUGGCGCCUUCUUCUGUCUAAUUCGUUUUCGGCCCA
This is a non-coding RNA of Caenorhabditis elegans, 222 nucleotides long. NCBI's taxonomy places the organism in Eukaryota, Metazoa, Nematoda, Chromadorea, Rhabditida, Rhabditidae. The record is from Ensembl.